Molecule: ribosomal RNA, 331 nt
Filed under: uncultured bacterium
Lineage: Bacteria
Description: bacterial SSU rRNA
Rfam family: Bacterial small subunit ribosomal RNA
Source: RNAcentral
GGUGCAGGCGGUCUGGUAAGUCGGAUGUAAAUCUCCUGGCUUAACUAGGAGGGACCAUUCGAUACUGCCGGGCUAGAGUGCAGCAGGGGGAGGUGGAAUUCCCGGUGUAGUGGUGAAAUGCGUAGAUAUCGGGAGGAACACCAGUGGCGAAGGCGGCCUCCCAGGCUGUUACUGACGCUGAGGCCCGAAAGCGUGGGGAGCAAACAGGAUUAGAUACCCUGGUAGUCCACGCCGUAAACUAUGGACACUAGGUAUGGGGAGUAUCGACCCUCUCCGUGCCGAAGCUAACGCUUUAAGUGUCCCGCCUGGGGAGUACGGUCGCAAGACUAAA